UCUCUGUCCAAGCUACCAAGGGUCAACGGUGGAUGCCUUGGCGCCAGGAGCCGAUGAAGGACGUGGCAGGCUGCGAUAAGCCCCGGCGAGCUGUCAAGCAAGCUUCGACCCGGGGAUGUCCGAAUGGGGAAACCCGGCUGGGGUCAUGCCCAGUCACUCCGGUCUGAACACAUAGGACCGGUAGAGGGAACCGGCGGAACUGAAACAUCUAAGUACUCCGAGGAAGAGAAAGCAACAGCGAUUCCCUGAGUAGCGGCGAGCGAAACGGGAUCAGCCCAAACCUCUGCAGUGCAAUAGCCCGACGGCGUUGCUGCGGGGGGGUUGUGGGACCUGCUGGACGGUGCGUCGGCGCCGUCACAGAGUUACAAAGGCGAAGAUCAGCCGAACCCGGAUGGAAAGCCGGGCCGUAGAAGGUAACAGCCCUGUAGGCGAAGGCCUUCGCUCUCUGAGCGGUGUUCCCAAGUAUCACGGAGGAUAUUCCGUGUGAAUCUGCGAGAACCACCUCGUAAGGCUAAACACUUCCUGGCGACCGAUAGUGAACUAGUACCGUGAGGGAAAGGUGAAAAGCACCCCGGUGAGGGGAGUGAAAUAGUACCUGAAACCGUUGACCUACAAGCAGUGGGAGGAGUUCUCUUUUGAGAGCUCUGACCGCCUGCCUUUUGAAGAAUGAGCCGGCGAGUUAGCGGUAUGUGGCGAGGUUAAGGUAGUUGUACCGGAGCCGAAGCGAAAGCGAGUCUGAACAGGGCGAUUCAGUCGCAUGCCCUAGACCCGAAUCCGGGCGAUCUAUCCAUGGGCAGGGUGAAGCGAAGGUAAGACUUCGUGGAGGCCCGAACCCACCAAGGUUGAAAACUUGGGGGAUGACCUGUGGAUAGGGGUGAAAGGCCAAUCAAGCCCGGUGAUAGCUGGUUCUCCCCGAAAUAGCUUUAGGGCUAGCGUUGCGCGUUUCGCAAUGGGGGUAGAGCACUGAUUGAACUAGGGGGCCCACAAGCCUACCAACUUCAGUCAAACUCCGAAUCUCAUUGCGUUAGAGCGUGGCAGUCAGUCUACGUGGGAUGAGCUUCGUGGACGCAAGGGAAACAGCCCAGAUCGCCAGCUAAGGUCCCUAAGUCUGAGCUAAGUGGGAAACGAUGUGGAGUUGCACAAACAGCCAGGAGGUUGGCUUAGAAGCAGCCAUCCUUUAAAGAAUGCGUAACAGCUCACUGGUCGAGUGGCGCUGCGCGGAAAAUGUAACGGGGCUAAAGCUCAGCACCGAAGCUGCGAGAUUCCGUCCGUUGGGACGGGAUCGGUAGGGGAGCGUCGUGUCGACAUAGAAGCGUCGCCGUGAGGAGGCGUGGAGACGGCACGAGUGAGAAUGCCGGUAUGAGUAGCGAAAGAAGAGUGAGAAUCUCUUCCGCCGAAUGUCCAAGGGUUCCUGGGGAAGGUUCGUCCGCCCAGGGUUAGUCGGGACCUAAGGCGAGGCCGAAAGGCGUAGUCGAUGGACAACGGGUUGAUAUUCCCGUACCGCUCUGUGCGCGCCCGACCAAGACCGGUCAUGCUAAGACCGCAUCUUCGGAUGGGGUCGAACCAGACCGGAGGAGGUCAGCAACGGGGUGACGUGGAAGGGUAAGCGGACCCGGGCGUUGGUUGUUCCCGGGGUAAACGUGUAGGGUGCGGCCCAGGUAAAUCCGGGCCGCUCAAUAGCCCGAGGCGUGAUGCCGAUCCGCCUUAAGGAGAAGCCGCUGAACGCCCAUGCCACCGAGAAAAACCUCUAGCGAGUGCACAGUGCGCCCGUACCCCAAACCGACACAGGUGGACAGGUAGAGAAUACCAAGGCGAGCGAGUUAACCCUGGUUAAGGAAUUCGGCAAAUUGGCUCCGUAACUUCGGGAGAAGGAGCGCCCCGGUAAAGUGUAGGAGUUUUCCUCCGAAGCUUGAGGGGGCCGCAGUGACCAGGCCCAAACGACUGCUUACUAAAAGCACAGCAGCGUGCAAAGUCGCAAGACGACGUAUACGCUGUGACGCCUGCCCGGUGCCGGAAGGUUAAGAGGAGGUGUUAGCCCUCGGGCGAAGCUCUGAAUUGAAGCCCCGGUAAACGGCGGCCGUAACUAUAACGGUCCUAAGGUUGAAGUUCGCAGCCUUAGUAAAACUGAACCAUAUGCGGGAAACUCCUCGUACAGCAGUCCGGUACUCGUCCACCCGUGGGUGGGCAGUAAAAAUCCGGCUGACAUGGGGACAAUCCGCAGGGAAGGUCCAAUCUGUAAUGGAAACCCUCAGAGACUUGACGUUCAGGAUUGAUCGAUGAAGCUUGACAGUCAGUGGAUCACAGGAUUCGUGGACGGUGAAGGAUGCUUCCACCUCGGGAUAAACCCACAUCCCGACAUGAAGACCGGCUUUCAGGUUCUGCCUGAAUUCACCGUUGUACAGCACGAACGCGAUGUGCAGGUGUUGCACGCUAUGAAAAGCCACUUCGGGUGCGGCGUGGUUCGCAGCAACCACGGCGACCGGAUGGCCUAUCGGGUGCGCAGCAUCGAGCAUUUGCUCGGUCGCAUCGUUCCAUUCUUUGUCAAGCACCCGCUGAAGACCAGAAAGCGGAUCGCGUUCGAGAAGUUUCGGCGCGUUCUGCUGCUGAUGGAAGCGGGCGAGCAUCUGACCGACGAAGGCGUUGAUCGGAUACGCCAGAUCGCCGGCCAGAUGAAUAGAGGUCAAUCAAGGUAAAGUCCGGCCCGCUUGGAAACAGGUGGGAUCAUCCGAGCGAAAUUCCUUGUCGGGUAAGUUCCGACCUGCACGAAUGGCGCAACGAUUUGGGCACUGUCUCAACCAGGGACUCGGCGAAAUUGCAAUGUGAGUAAAGAUGCUCACUACCUGCGGCAGGACGGUAAGACCCCGGAACCUUUACUGUAGCUUGGCAUUGGAGUCUGGCGUGUAAUGUGCAGGAUAGGUGGGAGACUAGGAAGCGGAGGCGCAAGCCUCCGUGGAGUCAACCUUGGAAUACCACCCUUUGUACGACGGGCUUCUAACCCGGGUCCGUAAUCCGGAUCGGGGACAGUGUCUGGCGGUCAGUUUCACUGGGGCGGUGGCCUCCUAAAGCGUAACGGAGGCGCCCAAAGGUUCCCUCAGUCUGGUCGGCAAUCAGACGACGAGUGUAAAGGCACAAGGGAGCUUGACUGUGAGACCUACAAGUCAAACAGGGACGAAAGUCGGGCUUAGUGAUCCCAUGGUGGCACGUGGGUGCGCCAUGGCUCAUCGGCUAAAAGGUACUCCGGGGAUAACAGGCUAAUCACGCCCAAGAGUCCAUAUCGACGGCGUGGUUUGGCACCUCGAUGUCGGCUCGUCGCAUCCUGGGGCUGGAGCAGGUCCCAAGGGUCGGGCUGUUCGCCCGUUAAAGCGGCACGCGAGCUGGGUUUAGAACGUCGUGAGACAGUUCGGUCCCUAUCCGCCGCAGGCGCAGGAGACUUGAGGGGAGCUGUCCCUAGUACGAGAGGACCGGGAUGGACGUACCUCUGGUGUGCCAGUUGUUCUGCCAAGAGCACGGCUGGUUAGCUACGUACGGACGGGAUAAGCGCUGAAGGCAUCUAAGUGCGAAGCCCACCCCAAGAUGAGGUCUCCCACGGGUAUUACCCGGUAAGGCCCCUGGCAGAACACCAGGUUGAUAGGCCGGAAGUGUAAGCGCAGCAAUGUGUUCAGCUGACCGGUACUAAUAGGCCGAGGGCUUGGACA
This 3695-nucleotide ribosomal RNA is filed under the name Acidimicrobiia bacterium. RNAcentral describes it as "23S ribosomal RNA". It matches the Rfam family "Bacterial large subunit ribosomal RNA". The record is from RNAcentral. Lineage: Bacteria; Bacillati; Actinomycetota; Acidimicrobiia.